RNAcentral lists this ribosomal RNA (370 nucleotides) under uncultured organism. Its description in RNAcentral is "bacterial SSU rRNA". It matches the Rfam family "Bacterial small subunit ribosomal RNA", at positions 526 to 896 of the family's 1533-position model. The record is from RNAcentral.
CGUAGGGUGCAAGCGUUAAUCGGAAUUACUGGGCGUAAAGCGUGCGCAGGCGGUUUGGUAAGACAGAUGUGAAAUCCCCGGGCUUAACCUGGGAAUUGCAUUUGUGACUGCCCGGCUAGAGUUUGGCAGAGGGGGGUAGAAUUCCACGUGUAGCAGUGAAAUGCGUAGAUAUGUGGAGGAAUACCGAUGGCGAAGGCAGCCCCCUGGGUCAAGACUGACGCUCAUGCACGAAAGCGUGGGGAGCAAACAGGAUUAGAUACCCUGGUAGUCCACGCCCUAAACGAUGUCCACUAGUUGUCGGGUCUUAAUGGACUUGGUAACGCAGCUAACGCGUGAAGUAGACCGCCUGGGGAGUACGGUCGCAAGAUUA